GCCGGGUGUGGUGGCUCACACCUGUAAUCCCAGCACUUUGGGAGGCCAAGGUGGGCGGAUCACUUGAGGUCAGGAGUUCGAGACCAGCCUGGCCAACAUAGUGAAACCCCAUCUCUA
Molecule: non-coding RNA, 117 nt
Filed under: Chlorocebus sabaeus (green monkey)
Lineage: Eukaryota; Metazoa; Chordata; Mammalia; Primates; Cercopithecidae
Source: Rfam by way of RNAcentral